UACAUACAUCUUCACUUUUUUCUUGUCAUGAAUACUUUAAAAGGAAAAAAUGAAAAAAAAAGAUUCCAUACUUGGUGUACAAGGGCUACUAGUUCAUCAUAACCUCUCGUGUAUAUUAUAUGCCUAUUAGAGGGGAGUUAUGAUGAACUAGUAGCCCUUGUACACCAAGUAUGGAAUCUUUUUUUUUCAUUUUUUCCUUUUAAAGUAUUCAUGACAAGAAAAAAGUGAAGAUGUA
Long non-coding RNA from Hydractinia symbiolongicarpus, 235 nucleotides. RefSeq lists it as uncharacterized. The transcript has 2 exons. Lineage: Eukaryota; Metazoa; Cnidaria; Hydrozoa; Anthoathecata; Hydractiniidae. The record is from RefSeq and is a predicted model, not a curated record.